CCAGCACCUGCGGUAAUUCCAGCUCCAAUAGCGUAUAUUAAAGUUGUUGCAGUUAAAAAGCUCGUAGUUGGAUUUGUGGCGUGUGCCGUGGCGUCCAUUGAUUUGGUUCUGUUGCGGCGGCGCCAUCCUUGGGUGGAAUCUGUGUGGCAUUAGGUUGUCGUGCAGGGGAUGCCCAUCGUUUACUGUGAAAAAAUUAGAGUGUUCAAAGCAGGCUUAUGCCGUUGAAUAUAUUAGCAUGGAAUAAUAAGAUAGGUCUAGGGUCCUAUUUUGUUGGUUUGCGGUCCUUAGAAAUGAUUAACAGGGACAGUUGGGGGUAUUCGUAUUCCAUUGUCAGAGGUGAAAUUCUUGGAUUUCUGGAAGACGAACUACUGCGAAAGCAUUUACCAAGGAUGUUUUCAUUAAUCAAGAACGAAAGU
This 416-nucleotide ribosomal RNA is filed under the name uncultured Naviculaceae. RNAcentral describes it as "SSU rRNA". It matches the Rfam family "Eukaryotic small subunit ribosomal RNA", at positions 567 to 990 of the family's 1831-position model. The record is from RNAcentral. Lineage: Eukaryota; Bacillariophyta; Bacillariophyceae; Naviculales; Naviculaceae.